AGGGAAUCUUCCGCAAUGGACGAAAGUCUGACGGAGCAACGCCGCGUGAGUGAUGAAGGCUUUCGGGUCGUAAAACUCUGUUGUUAGGGAAGAACAAGUGCUAGUUGAAUAAGCUGGCACCUUGACGGUACCUAACCAGAAAGCCACGGCUAACUACGUGCCAGCAGCCGCGGUAAUACGUAGGUGGCAAGCGUUAUCCGGAAUUAUUGGGCGUAAAGCGCGCGCAGGUGGUUUCUUAAGUCUGAUGUGAAAGCCCACGGCUCAACCGUGGAGGGUCAUUGGAAACUGGGAGACUUGAGUGCAGAAGAGGAAAGUGGAAUUCCAUGUGUAGCGGUGAAAUGCGUAGAGAUAUGGAGGAACACCAGUGGCGAAGGCGACUUUCUGGUCUGUAACUGACACUGAGGCGCGAAAGCGUGGGGAGCAAAC
This 426-nucleotide ribosomal RNA is filed under the name uncultured bacterium. Its description in RNAcentral is "bacterial SSU rRNA". It matches the Rfam family "Bacterial small subunit ribosomal RNA", at positions 356 to 773 of the family's 1533-position model. The record is from RNAcentral.